CCGAGGGUUGGGGAGGCAAGGGAGGGAAGCACGUUCUGGAAGGACCCAGCGAGCCCAAACCCACGGAAUGAGUGCUGUUGGGCAGCAUCCAGUGCCGGCAAUGGGGAUGGGCGCCCAGUCCUGUCUGCAGCCGUGAGAGAGGGCACAGGGCUCCAGGAAGAGGAACCCGGGGGUGGCAGGGCCUGCCUGGGGCCGCCACCGUCUCCAGGACCUGUCCGUGUCUGGAUCAGGUCCUCCUGGUCCCCAGAGAAGCAAACUCAGGGCCAUAGAAGUCCCCUAACUGCCACAGACAGCGGUUGGAGGACGGAAUUCUUACGUGGGGUGGCUGUUGAGAAAGUAGGAACCGUGGCUUUGGGAGCCCUGGGACAGGACUGGACUCACAGAGGGAUCUCUCAGGAGGGUAAUCAUUCUCAUUGCAGACAAGUCGGAAUUUGAAAAGAGUACAGGAAAAACACCCAAACCCCAGCACCCAGAGGUCCCGUGGAGGCCUUGGAGCUGCUGACAGGGUGUGGGGGGCCUGGCCUGGUCUGGAGUAGCUGACAGAGGAGGGGCUGGCCGCGCUGGCCCUGCUCCUGCAGGUGUGAGAGAGGCUGCCCUCUGCCCUCUCAGGACCCACCCUCCUGGAGUGCCACGCGCCAUGGUAGCCGCACCCAGCGACGGCUUCCACUGCCCCUCCUGGCGGUCCAACCGCCUCUCGCCUGAGGCGCAAGAGCUGGACGUAGACCACUCAGGCAGGGUGGUGGCGGAGAAGCCCCUGCACAGCAGCCCACCCUGGGAGGAGGCCGUCGUCAGCAAGAUCAGGACCAUGUCAGUCUCGGAGAGGUGCCUCAUGCUGGAGUCCAUCCUCUGCUGCCUCCAGCAGCACAGCCAGCUUGUGCAGAAGGUGAAGGUGUCAUAUGCCAGUAUCCAGGAGGUCCUGGAGCCCUUGAACCUGGACUUCAGUUCUCUGGAGAAGUCCUUCCUCUUCCACUUGUACGGCGUGAUCCUCAGGGAGAGUGCUGACGCCAACAUGGUGAGGAAGCACGUGGUCCAGCUCCUCGAGCUGUCCCACCAGUCAUCCAGCGACCGGGAGGGUAUCUCGCUGGCCAUCGGCAUAACGUCCAGCUCUCACCUGGAGCAGGUGUGGGGCAGGCUGGAGCACCUGGGCCGCACCAGGUUCCUGAGGUCUGCCCCCCUGCCCCUGGAAAGCCAGCUGGAGCCAGACCUGCACUGGAGGUGGGUGAGCAGCACUGCCCUGCUGUGCUACGGGCAGAUGGCCAUGCACGGCGGGAAGCAGGUCCUGCCCUGGGUGGACAACAUCGCCUCCAGGAUGGUGUACUACUUCACCUGCAGCAGCCACGACAGCACCCUGAAGGCGAGCUUCCUCUCGGCCUCCAUCAUGCUGGUGAAGGCUCUCAGUCAGGAGAGCAGUGCCCGGAGCUACAAGUUCACGCAGACCCCGGAACUAAUCCAGUGUCUCCUGUGCAUCCUGGAGAAGGAGCCCAACUUCCUGGCCAACCUCUUCCGGCAGAAGAUCAUAUUGGUCAUCAUGGAGCUGAGCCACUUACGGCCCCGACUCAAACCCACGGUCAAGUCCAGAAUCUUGCAGACCUGCCUGCAGAGCUUGUACAACCUCCCACCCGUGGAGAUGCUGAAGACCAACUUGCCGCCGCUGGAGCUGGCCCCGGACGUUGUGGCACUGUACCAGAAGUCCAUGCAAGCGCUUGACCUGCUCCUCCAGGCCUUCAUCUCUGAGAAUGAGAGCAUGGAUGAAAUCUGCUUCCUCCUGCAGCACACGGAGCCCUGGCUGAAGUCAAGCAAAAGCUAUGAGCGGAAGCGGGUGGUGCAGUCCAUCUUCCUGCUCCUCAAGUAUGUGGCGGACUACGUGAAGCUCAGCGAGGAGGCCAUGCCCUCAGGGCUGGGCCGCCAGGUGGGCCUGCUGCUGCUGCUAUGGCGGGACAGGGACCAGCUCACCCAGAGCCACUCCCACCAGUGCGUCUACCUCUUUGUGCAGCUUCUGAUCCAGCAGAAGGGGAGCACGGCGGAGUUCAUGCAUCUGAAUAAAAUGAAGAACUUUGAAACAAAGGCUCACAAAGAUUCAGAGCUGAAGUUCUACAGUUUGGUGAAGACCUUGGACGAGCACCUCACGGUGGCGCAGCACACGCAGCUCGUGCUCACGCUCCUGCAAGGGCUGUGCAGCCACGACUCCCUCAACAGCCACCUGGCCUCGGAGCUGCUCCUGACCAUCAUGGAGGACCGCAGCAUCAAGCCAGAGCAGGUGGCCGAGAUCCUGCAGGAGCUGUUUCAGGAGCUGCCCUACAUCGUCUUCACGAGCAUCCUGCAGACCACGAUGAAGGCCGUGACGGUGCUGGGCACGCAGCACACGCAGCAGACCGUCGAAGUGAUGCUGUCCCUGUGCCCUCCCUCAGAGAGGCAGGUCAUCCCCCUGUGGAAGGCCCUGGCCACCAACAGCCGGCUGGCCCGCAAGGUCAUCACGCUGCUCUACAUGAAGCUGAAGCUGCGGCCCCCCCGAGAGCUCAUCAAGGUCCCGGUGCAGGCUGAGUUUGUUUCCCUGCUGGCCCUGAGCACCAUUUAUGAACUCCUCUACAUACAUGAGUACAAGGCCACGGUGCGCUGGGCCUUCGCAGGGAUCCUCCUGGGCCUUCUCACCCAGCUUCACUACCUGUUUGAGCUGGAUGUGGUGGAGGGCAUGUCCGACUACCAGGAGGAGGCCUUGGAGGCCAAGGCCCUCAGCCCCUGCAGGACAUGCCUGGAGGCUCUAAAGGGUCUCUUCUGGACCACCAAUUACUGGGAGGUAUUUGCCCACCUCAAGCUGCUAAGGGGCUGGGAGCUCUUUGAGCACCUGGAAACCUACACCGAAGGGGUGACCCUCCUGGCCAGGGCCAUGGCCCACUACGACUGUGAGGUCAAAGCGGUCUUGGGGCAGGCGGUCAUCUUCCUGAAGAGCCCUGAAGAACGGGACAACAUCGUAGCCAUCCUCAUCAUCACAGAGUUUCUCAGUGGCCAGGAGCUCACCCAGUACAUGUCUCGGAGAACCAUAGACAGCUUCCUGAACCUGGGCCUCAACAACCCCAACCCGCUGGUGAGGGCCAUGAGCCUAAAGGGCCUCAGCAGUAGCCUCAUGCAACCUCAGAAGGUGGUCCUGCUCCGGAACCAGUUGACCAGGCUGCUGGACAGCUUCCUGAAACCCCAGCCCCAGGACCUGCUGGGCCUGAUGGAGAUCCUGGGUGACGUCCUGCACCACCUGGGUGCCCAGGGCGUCGGCGCCGUCAGCGUCAAGAUGGCUCAGCACCUGCUGCCACUGUUUGAAGCCGUGAGGAACCUAGUGCCCAAGCCUGCCAAUCAGAACAGCCAGAGCCGCCACACCCCACGCCCACCCCCACUCCUGCCAAUCAGAGCAGCCAGAGCAGCGAACACCCUCCAAUCAGAGCAGCCAGGGCGACUAACUCCUACCAAGCCAGAGCCGCCACACACCGUCGCCCACCCCACCCCUACCAAUCAGCAGCCACAGCAGUGAACACCCUCCAAUCAGAGCAGCCAGGGCAGCUAACUCCUGCCAAUCAGAGCAGCCAGAGAGGUUAACCCCCUCCAAUCAGAGCAGCCGAAGCUGCUGCUCCUGGCGUCGUGGAUAACGUCCACAGGUGGAGCCCAGCGGGAACCUGGCCCAGGGCAGGACGGUUCUGUGAGGCCUUGAGGCUGCCUCAGAGAUAGUCAUCCUCAUUCCUCACCCAGAAGUGGCGGUGGGCUGGGAGCAGAGGGCAGGGCCCACCUAGGUUCACAUGUAGAGAAUGAGUGAGAGCAGGGUAAAUGGUUUCAGGGGUUCUGAAUAAAGGAGAGGCUUAAGAGUGGUGAGGCCUGAACUGAGGCAGGGCCGCUGGGCCACCAGAAGGACCUCAGGGACGGCGGGCACAGUCCUCAGGGACUGUGUGGUGGGGGGGGGGGUGGGUAGGCAGACUGCCACCGUUCACGCUGUGUCUAGGAGACCUCCAGGGCUGCUGUCCCAAGGUGGUCUAAUGAAGCUGGAGGAACUGGGGCGCAGAGUAGGAUAGUGGGGUUCAGCACUCAGUGUGGCCCAAGGACAAAGGCGCUAUUGUCAGCCCCUUGCCAUGAAAGGGGAAACUGAGUCAUGCACUGAAGACUUGCUCAGGGUCACAGGGCUAGCGGGUGACGGAGCCGGCUCCAGGGUCUGUGGUCUAACCCCCGUCCCAGUCUCCCUGGGACUUGGAGGUGUGGUUGCUGGCAGCCCAAGGCCCCCAGAAAAAUAGCACAGGAGAAACACCGGGGAGCAGGAGGGCGUGCGCAGCGGAGCCAUCUUCCUAUACGGAGAUGUCAUCUACAGCGGUGGCAAGAAGUUCCGGCAGGCGCUCAAGAGCCAUGCCUUCCAGGCCCUGGUGCCCUUGCUCUUCCACCUGGCCGACACCUGC
RNA transcript from Bubalus bubalis (water buffalo), 4424 nucleotides. It is a transcript of the gene named maestro heat-like repeat family member 5, with no coding region annotated. The record is from RefSeq and is a predicted model, not a curated record. Lineage: Eukaryota; Metazoa; Chordata; Mammalia; Artiodactyla; Bovidae. The transcript is spliced from 24 exons.